UAAAAGUCGUAACAAGGUUUCCGUAGGUGAACCUGCGGAAGGAUCAUUAACGAAUAUAAUUCGAGGGGUUGUCGCUGGCCUCGCUCGCGAGGCAUGUGCACGCUUCUUGUUUUUCAUAACUCACCUGUGCACCUAAUGUAGGAUGCCUCUCCUCCGGGAGGGGGGACCUAUGUCUUCAUAUACAUCUUCGUGUAGAAAGUCUUUGAAUGUUUACUAUCAUCGAGUCGCGACUUCUAGGAGACGCGAUUCUUUGAGAUAAAAGUUAUUACAACUUUCAGCAAUGGAUCUCUUGGCUCUCGCAUCGAUGAAGAACGCAGCGAAAAGCGAUAUGUAAUGUGAAUUGCAGAUCUACAGUGAAUCAUCGAAUCUUUGAACGCACCUUGCGCUCCUCGGUGUUCCGAGGAGCAUGCCUGUUUGAGUGUCAGUAAAUUCUCAACCCCUCUCGAUUAGCUUCGAGAGGGCGCUUGGAUAGUGGAGGUUGCCGGAGACUUGGAUUCGUCCAGGACUCGGGCUCUUCUGAAAUGCAUCGGCUUGCGGUCGACUUUCGACUAUGCGCGACAAGGCUUUCGGCGUGAUAAUGAUCGCCGUUCGCUGAAGCGCAUGACUGAGGGUUCCGUGCCUCUAAUACGUCGACCACUUACUAUCUCUCCGGAGAGAACAGGGUCUUCCUUAUUGACUUUUGACCUCAAAUCAGGUAGGACUACCCGCUGAACUUAAGCAUAUCAAUAAGCGGAGGAAAAGAAACUAACAAGGAUUCCCCUAGUAACUGCGAGUGAAGCGGGAAAAGCUCAAAUUUUGAAUCUGGCGGUCUUUUGGCCGUCCGAGUUGUAAUCUAGAGAAGUGUUUUCCGCGCUGGACG
RNAcentral lists this ribosomal RNA (859 nucleotides) under Rhizopogon atroviolaceus. Its description in RNAcentral is "eukaryotic LSU rRNA". The stretch from base 270 to 424 matches the Rfam family "5.8S ribosomal RNA". Lineage: Eukaryota; Fungi; Basidiomycota; Agaricomycetes; Boletales; Rhizopogonaceae. The record is from RNAcentral.